CUUGCCUCCUAUACAAGCCUGAAUGGCAUCUUCUAGUAGUAAGAAAGCUAGUCCUUAGGGAGGAAGAAUUCAGGCUCCUCCAUGCUUGACACAAUCUACCAACUCCAUUCUCUACUUUCACUGUUGAUGUAUGCUGAAGGAGAGAGAGUCACUCUCUUUGGAGAGUUGUUGCUACAGGGAGAAGCUGAACACUCGGGUGUCAACUGCCAACUGCCUUUCUUCCACCGACGAAGUUUAAUGUG
Molecule: long non-coding RNA, 242 nt
Organism: Peromyscus eremicus (cactus mouse)
Lineage: Eukaryota; Metazoa; Chordata; Mammalia; Rodentia; Cricetidae
Exons: 3
Source: RefSeq, a predicted model, not a curated record